RNAcentral lists this ribosomal RNA (253 nucleotides) under uncultured bacterium. Its description in RNAcentral is "partial 16S ribosomal RNA". It matches the Rfam family "Bacterial small subunit ribosomal RNA", at positions 524 to 776 of the family's 1533-position model. The record is from RNAcentral.
UACAGAGGGGGCAAGCGUUGUUCGGAAUUACUGGGCGUAAAGGGUGUGUAGGCGGUUGUGUUAGUCUUCUGUUAAAUUCUUCGGCUUAACCGGGGGCAUGCAGAGGAAACGGCACAACUAGAGGAUGCGAGAGGUGAAUGGAACUCAUGGAGUAGGGGUGAAAUCCGUUGAUAUCAUGGGGAACACCAAAUGCGAAGGCAAUUCACUGGCGCACUCCUGACGCUGAGACACGAAAGCGUAGGUAGCGAAUGGG